Molecule: long non-coding RNA, 1647 nt
Organism: Rhododendron vialii
Lineage: Eukaryota; Viridiplantae; Streptophyta; Magnoliopsida; Ericales; Ericaceae
Exons: 3
Source: RefSeq, a predicted model, not a curated record
UAUGUGAUAGAAUUAAAGCCAAUUUCCUCAUUAUUUUUUUGUCCACACUAUUCAACUAUAUUUACAGCUUGUUUGUGUGUGUGUGUGUGUGUGGUGCUAGAGGCCAGUUGGAUUUACGAAAUUAGACAUGUGAUUGGAAAACUAAUCUAAGAGAACCACAUUUCUGGCGUUUGAAUGCAACACUGUGUGGAGGUAUUACGUUGCUAUUGACAAUCACUCCCACAAAUCAUAGGAUGUACUAUACCUUUGGGCACGGAUAGAGCUAUGACAUGGCCAAACUUUGGCCAUGGGCUCCUCUUGACAUUUUUGAGAACCCAUCAACUAUAUGUUGGAUACAUAUUUCCACUUUAUCCAUAUCACUAGGCCCUCGUAGCAAAUUAUUUUGACAUAAUUGCACUUUAGGCUUGGUUAAUGACAUUUGCAUUCCCUUUUACCAACAAGGCUUCAUAAUUUGUCCUUAUUUGCAUUAUAAGAUGAGAACUGUUAGUAUGUUCUCCAAUUAGGACCCAACUUGAAGGUGAUGAGGACAACAAAAAUAAUAAAUUGUGAGAUGAGGGUAUUUUUGGUAGUUGCAGAGACUCUAAGCAAGAGCUGCAUGGUUCGUACAAAGGUCAUUCAUAAUUUCAUGGUAGGUCAUCCAUAAUAGUUUGGUAGUUAAAGGGUCAUCAUGAAUUUAGUACUCGCAUCAAUUCAUCUAGGUGCAUUAAACAAAGUUCAAUGUAUGCAUUAAACACAUUUUAGUUCUUUGCAUCUAAUUGUUAGUAGGUUCAAUGUAUGCAUUUAUUUCUAGGUUCAUUCAUUAUCUUGUUAAAUGUGGUCAUUGAUUAGGUUCAUGUCACUUCGACUUCUAGGAUAUUGAAAGGUCAUUGUUUAGCCUACAAGUAUGGAUGUAAUCUUUCUUUCCAACAUAGAGUUGAUUAAUGAAUUGAGUUUUACAAGGCCAAGGCCAUUGUAAUUGGGGUUUAGGCUACUGUCCUUCCUUGCAGAAACUGCCCAACCCUUACGAGGGUGAAGCACCUCUAUCUCUCUUUCUUCUUUGCGCACACUCUUCUCCUUCUCAUUCUUCCCUUUCUUCUUCCAAGUGCACUUAUUCAAAUAAUAUUCUUAUUUCCCCACCCAAAACCACCACGAUUCUUGUUGUAGGCGGCAAUACUUUGAGUGUCCUAAAACCGUCCUACAUCAGAAGGUGACUAAUUGGUCCUUAUUGAGGUGUCUAAUUAGUCCUUAUUGGUUAAUGGAAUUAUCUUUAAGUACAUGAUGUAUGGGUUUAUGGAACAUUUUUGACUUAGAUGAUGUAGGGUCUAUUUAUUAGCUUUUAGGGAAUGUGUAAAUAUGUGAUGAUAUAUUGCUCUUCUAAGACGUAUCAUACAUGUAUGACAGUUAAUUUUUAACUAGUAUUGGGUUGCAUUUUUGUUUAUCUAUUAGUGAAGUAUUCCUACCAAUGGCAUACUAUUUUAUAGACAAUAUGAUUUUUAACACGUCCUUGGCGUGUUGUGUCUUGCGUUUCUCAAAAGGGAAAAAAAAUCCAUCAUAUGGCGUGCCCAUGUUUUUUAAGAGUAUCUCUGCCUUGCAUGUAGGAAGAAAAAUCUAUUUCCAAAAUGUUAUGAGCACAAAUAAACAAACAUGUGCCUUACUUGACAUUCAAUU